GACGAACGCUGGCGGCGUGCUUAACACAUGCUUUUCGAACGGAAAGGCCCUGCUUUUGUGGGGUGCUCGAGUGGCGAACGGGUGAGUAACACGUGAGUAACCUGCCCUUGACUUUGGGAUAACUUCAGGAAACUGGGGCUAAUACCGGAUAGGAGCUCCUGCUGCAUGGUGGGGGUUGGAAAGUUUCGGCGGUUGGGGAUGGACUCGCGGCUUAUCAGCUUGUUGGUGGGGUAGUGGCUUACCAAGGCUUUGACGGGUAGCCGGCCUGAGAGGGUGACCGGCCACAUUGGGACUGAGAUACGGCCCAGACUCCUACGGGAGGCAGCAGUGGGGAAUAUUGCACAAUGGGCGGAAGCCUGAUGCAGCAACGCCGCGUGCGGGAUGACGGCCUUCGGGUUGUAAACCGCUUUCGCCUGUGACGAAGCGUGAGUGACGGUAAUGGGUAAAGAAGCACCGGCUAACUACGUGCCAGCAGCCGCGGUGAUACGUAGGGUGCGAGCGUUGUCCGGAUUUAUUGGGCGCAAAGGGCUCGUAGGUGGUUGAUCGCGUCGGAAGUGUAAUCUUGGGGCUUAACCCUGAGCGUGCUUUCGAUACGGGUUGACUUGAGGAAGGUAGGGGAGAAUGGAAUUCCUGGUGGAGCGGUGGAAUGCGCAGAUAUCAGGAGGAACACCAGUGGCGAAGGCGGUUCUCUGGGCCUUUCCUGACGCUGAGGAGCGAAAGCGUGGGGAGCGAACAGGCUUAGACACCCUGGUAGUCCACGCUGUAAACGGUGGGUACUAGGUGUGGGGUCCAUUCCACGGGUUCCGUGCCGUAGCUAACGCUUUAAGUACCCCGCCUGGGGAGUACGGCCGCAAGGCUAAAAUUCAAAGGAAUUGACGGGGCCCCGCACAAGCGGCGGAGCAUGCGGAUUAAUUCGAUGCAACGCGUAGAACCUUACCUGGGUUUGACAUGGAUCGGGAGUGCUCAGAGAUGGGUGUGCCUCUUUUGGGGUCGGUUCACAGGUGGUGCAUGCCUGUCGUCAGCUCGUGUCGUGAGAUGUUGGGUUAAGUCCCGCAACGAGCGCAACCCUUGUUCACUGUUGCCAGCACGUUAUGGUGGGGACUCAGUGGAGACCGCCGGGGUCAACUCGGAGGAAGGUGGGGAUGACGUCAAGUCACCAUGCCCCUUAUGUCCAGGGCUUCACGCAUGCUACAAUGGCUGGUACAGAGAGUGGCGAGCCUGUGAGGGUGAGCGAAUCUCGGAAAGCCGGUCUCAGUUCGGAUUGGGGUCUGCAACUCGACCUCAUGAAGUCGGAGUCGCUAGUAAUCGCAGAUCAGCAACGCUGCGGUGAAUACGUUCCCGGG
Molecule: ribosomal RNA, 1343 nt
Filed under: uncultured bacterium
Lineage: Bacteria
Description: 16S ribosomal RNA
Rfam family: Bacterial small subunit ribosomal RNA
Source: RNAcentral